Molecule: non-coding RNA, 980 nt
Organism: Macaca mulatta (Rhesus monkey)
Lineage: Eukaryota; Metazoa; Chordata; Mammalia; Primates; Cercopithecidae
Source: RefSeq, a predicted model, not a curated record
GAAGGAGGGCCCAGGAUCUGUGAGUUGCCUGGGAUGCCACGCCCGAAGUCGGCUCCCGUGAGGGAUCUCCGGUGUCAGACUUCACACCCUUUCCCCUAAUGCCCCACGUUCCCGGGCACCGCAGGAAUCCCUUCCCUCUUUGCCCAGGACCGGCUUUCGAGCGCCCGCUCAGCCCUUCGCCUGGGAGGCAGGUGUUCCAGGUCAUACAGCUGGUGAUGGACCUUCAUUAACACCUACGUGAUCUUUCUGCAAAGCCCAUGUUCUUCUGGGGACAACUCCAGCACAGCCAGCAGAGCCUGGCAUGGAGAGGACAUGCGCUGAGCCUGAGAUGAAUGGGAGGUUAGUGAGGGCGGCACCGGCAGAACAAAGGAGACUGGCACACGUGAAAACCUUGCGAAAGCAAAACAAGGCCAAUAACUAAACCCACCUCCCGGGACCGUGGUGAAGAUGAAAUGAGACCAAGAAGCCAGGGGCUGGGCACAGCACCUGCACGUGGUACUUGAUAAGCGCCCCCGUACCCUCUAAGGUAGGCAUGUGGUCUGUGUCAAAGACAGAGAAGCUGACGCUCCGCAAGCUUUCAGUGGCCCAGGGCCAUCACGCUGGGAAAUGGUACAGCCAGGAUUUGAACACAGCUGUUGUGGAUUCUGUGCGCCAAGUCAGCUGCCACCCUUAUGGUGUCUCCCUUGCCUCUGGGACAAAGGGAGCAGGAAGCAGCUCCCUCACUCAGCCUGGUCUCCUCUUCUCCAGCAAUAUUCACUCCUCCCGGGAUGUGGUGUCAGGAGCCCAUACUCAGGCAGCCCUGGAGGGCAGAGGCAGGCAAUGGGCACCAAACUCUGCUCAGCAAGUACAGAGCAAGGGGCUGUGCCUGUGCCAAAGCCACCUGUUCAUCUGCCCAUCUCCCCAAUUUAUCCAUCCAUCUGUCCACCUGUUCAUCCGCCCAUCUAUCCAUCUGCUCAUUCGUCCAUCCAUCCAUCCAUCCA